Molecule: transfer RNA, 87 nt
Filed under: Candidatus Portnoybacteria bacterium CG23_combo_of_CG06-09_8_20_14_all_37_13
Lineage: Bacteria; Candidatus Portnoyibacteriota
Description: tRNA-Leu
Rfam family: tRNA
About the family: Transfer RNA (tRNA) molecules are approximately 80 nucleotides in length. Their secondary structure includes four short double-helical elements and three loops (D, anti-codon, and T loops).
Source: RNAcentral
GCCGAGAUGGUGAAAUUGGCAAACACGUGCGCUUCAGGGGUGCAUGCCUUGAUAGGCUUGCGGGUUCAACUCCCGCUCUCGGCACUA